This 200-nucleotide ribosomal RNA is filed under the name uncultured Prevotella sp. Its description in RNAcentral is "partial 16S ribosomal RNA". It matches the Rfam family "Bacterial small subunit ribosomal RNA", at positions 157 to 354 of the family's 1533-position model. Lineage: Bacteria; Pseudomonadati; Bacteroidota; Bacteroidia; Bacteroidales; Prevotellaceae. The record is from RNAcentral.
GGCAGACUAAUACCGCAUAGUCUUCGAUGACGGCAUCAGAUUUGAAGUAAAGAUUUAUCGGUAAUGGAUGGGGAUGCGUCUGAUUAGCUUGUUGGCGGGGUAACGGCCCACCAAGGCGACGAUCAGUAGGGGUUCUGAGAGGAAGGUCCCCCCACAUUGGAACUGAGACACGGUCCAAACUCCUACGGGAGGCAGCAGGG